Non-coding RNA from Punica granatum (pomegranate), 1394 nucleotides. The record is from RefSeq and is a predicted model, not a curated record. Lineage: Eukaryota; Viridiplantae; Streptophyta; Magnoliopsida; Myrtales; Lythraceae.
CAUCAUUCUCUAAGCUUUCUCACUCCAAAACACUCUCAAACUCCCCUUCAUUUUCAGAAAUCGUCCAGCCCUUCCUCAGCCUGGAGUAAGGCCGAUUUUACUCGAAAACUCAACCGUUUUCCGGCGACCGCCACCCAACCCGAACCAACUUUUACCAAACUUUAUAUCCCACAUGUUUUCGACUUCCUAAGUCCACUUCUGAGCUUAGUUUUUGCAUUUGAAGCCCACAGCCCUGCAUUCCAGAGUUGAGUAGAAUUGGGAUUCACGGGUGCAUCCCGGGCUUCCUCGAUGUUUUCUCCAUCCCACGACUAAAGCGAGUCAUCCCAUCACUUUCUAAGGGUUCCUCACAUCCCUCACUCUCCCCCGGGAUAAGGUGGUCGCGUGCCGAGAGUCAUUCAACCAUGCACCACCGCUGUUUCUCUCCUUUCUUCCUUCUCAGAUUUUUCCAGUUCUUACCGAUUUUCUUUCCAUCUUCCAAGAAAAUCUAGGCAUGUAAUUCCCACGAAACCAUAGCAAGCAUGAUCCUCAGUCAGUUAGGAGUCCAAUGUCAUCGAUCUUGCAGCAAAAUACCACUAGAAGCCUCUGAGAGAGUAAUUUCUUUUUAACCAGCCCAGUCGGGUCUGUUCAUUUUUUUACAUUCUUCACUUUUCUUGUAGAUCGGGUCGAUCCAAGUCACUUCUCGUAAAACGACCACAACAGACACCUCGAGAGGUCUCUUAGGAGUUGAGAGCCACCGACCUUGCAUCAAAAAACCACCGGGAGCCUCCUGCUUAGUCGUUUCUUGAUCAAGUGCGAGUCAGUCUCUUGGGAGUCCAAUGCAACCGACCCCGUGCGAAAAAGCCACUCUGAUCAACCGGUACAGCCCCAACAAGUCGGACUGCCAGUCAGGUCUGCCAGCCGACCCGACUUCACCAAUUCAGGUCUGUUCAUUCCAAGGGGCAGAACCGACUUCCCAAAGUCCUUUUUCUGACUUUCCUCGACUUUUCCGGCAUCCCGGGGUUAGGUAUAACCAUUCCCGACUUGGAGAAGUUAGGACUUUUACGUUUUAUUUGUAUUUGUAAGGCGAGAAGGCGGUCCAUGACCGAUUUGCAUGCAAAUUUAUGUUUUUAUGUGUUUUUACAUCGUAUUAUGCAUGUUUUCAUUGUAUAUUGUGCUAACAUGUCGGGAAAGGGCUUUAAUCGGAGUCGAGGAGACUCUGUUGGCUCGGGCGAGUCAAAGGAGCCUCUCGUCCUCACCCCAAGGGAAGUAGCCGAAAGCCCCUCUUCGCUUCCUCAGGCCAUACACGGCUUCUUUGUCCUGACUUAAGUCGUUUCCCAAGGUUUUAUAUUUUCCACUUUCAUGAGUCGAUGUCGUUUUAUCGAUUCCUCUAAAUAUCAAGUUUGUGCUUGUUUGUA